UCCAAGCUACUAAGAGCCAACGGUGGAUGCCUUGGCGCCAAGAACCGAUGAAGGACGUGAGUGACUGCGAAAAGCUGCGGGGAGCCGUCUACUAGGCCCUGAUCCGCAGAUGUCCGAAUGGGGAAACCCGG
This 131-nucleotide ribosomal RNA is filed under the name uncultured bacterium. RNAcentral describes it as "partial 23S ribosomal RNA". It matches the Rfam family "Bacterial large subunit ribosomal RNA", at positions 1 to 131 of the family's 2925-position model. The record is from RNAcentral.